RNAcentral lists this ribosomal RNA (591 nucleotides) under uncultured Burkholderia sp. Its description in RNAcentral is "bacterial SSU rRNA". It matches the Rfam family "Bacterial small subunit ribosomal RNA", at positions 418 to 1003 of the family's 1533-position model. The record is from RNAcentral. Lineage: Bacteria; Pseudomonadati; Pseudomonadota; Betaproteobacteria; Burkholderiales; Burkholderiaceae.
UCGGGUUGUAAAGCACUUUUGUCCGGAAAGAAAACUUCGGGGCUAAUACCUCUGGAGGAUGACGGUACCGGAAGAAUAAGCACCGGCUAACUACGUGCCAGCAGCGCGGUAAUCGUAGGGUGCGAGCGUUAAUCGGAAUUACUGGGCGUAAAGCGUGCGCAGGCAGUCUGUUAAGACAGAUGUGAAAUCCCCGGGCUUAACCUGGGAACUGCAUUUGUGACUGGCAGGCUAGAGUAUGGCAGAGGGGGGUAGAAUUCCACGUGUAGCAGUGAAAUGCGUAGAGAUGUGGAGGAAUACCGAUGGCGAAGGCAGCCCCCUGGGCCAAUACUGACGCUCAUGCACGAAAGCGUGGGGAGCAAACAGGAUUAGAUACCCUGGUAGUCCACGCCCUAAACGAUGUCAACUAGUUGUUGGGGAUUCAUUUCCUUAGUAACGUAGCUAACGCGUGAAGUUGACCGCCUGGGGAGUACGGUCGCAAGAUUAAAACUCAAAGGAAUUGACGGGGACCCGCACAAGCGGUGGAUGAUGGUGGAUUAAUUCGAUGCAACGCGAAAAACCUUACCUACCCUUGACAUGGUCGGAACCCUGGUG